ACGAGUUCUUUGAUUAUAGUCAUACUGGUCUGUGUGUGUGUUAAGAAUGUCUCCACCCCACCUUUCCCCUUACUGGUAGACAUAAGGGUCUGUGUCAUGCCUGCCAACAUUUAGAAUUCAAAUACACUUCCCCCUAGUCAUAUGUGUGUAUGUGUGUGAGACCAUGCACAUAUGAAGAAUGUGUUAAAAUAAACCCCCUGAUACCCCUUUAUCGCUUUAAAUGGCUGAAUGAUUAAAGUAGUGUUUUUGCAUCUCUCUCUCUCUCUCUCUCUCUCUUGUGUGUGUGUGUGUAUGUGUGUGAGUGCAUGGUUUAGGGCAGACAAGCCUUGUGUUACUGUCUCACCUUUGGUUGCAAUUAAAAAACAAAAAUCUGACAAACUUUUCAUUAAUGCAGAAACCACCCUGACUGUAUGGACAUCAUGAAGCAUACUUUGGGCCAGAAAUGACCUGUGUCAGAAAUUUUGUCACUGGUGACUGGGAAGAACAAGUCACAGAACUGUCAUGGAUACACCAGAAGACUUGACUGAUUGACUCUGCCCCCUCUUCCCCAUGAUUAUGAAAAUUGAGGCCAUGCCCAACACAAGCAAGCUCUCUCCUCUCUUCAAACACUCUAAUUAGGCCCACACACACACACACACACACACACACACACACAGACCGUCAUACUUUUUUCUCCCACUCUCAUGCACACACAACACAGCAAUCAAGUUUAAGUAAAAGUAGCCCUUACAGGUUACACAGUUUUAUAUGUUUCAUGCUACAAUUUACCAAUGAUCUUGUAACUGGUUUGUCAAAUUCAGAAUUCAGAUAAAACAGGUUAAAAUGAUGAUUUGUCAAUACCUUUUCCAUAUGGGCAGGGGGAUCACAGUAGCCAAGGUGCAGCAUCUCUUCUCCAAUGUUCACUUUCCGCAAAACACACCAUCUGCGCUGAGCAAUGAAAUGCGCAAAAUGGGGAGAAAAUAAAAUGGGGAAUGUGGAAAAUAAUCUUCCAGCUGCGCAGAGAGGGGGGUCUCAGCGUCCCGAAUAUUGAACGCCUCUACACUGCCACCAGGAAUGACAAACAGCUAUGGGAUAGCAGAGCACCUUGCAAGUUGUCAGAUUAAAGAAAUGCCUCCAAAGUGAGAGUAUUGGAAUGGGAACUUGUGAUUUUUGUGGUGUAGAGGCGGCCGUGUGACCGUGCAAGCUAAUUCCUCGCUCCGCGGGAGGGAAGGCAUGGUACGGCUGGAGAGGGAUCUCUGUGCAGGUCGCUCAGCGCCGCUCUCCGAGAGCCUGUUGACUCACAAUCACUUGGGGGAGACCGGCAACCCACACACGCUGAGAAAGUGUGUGUGUGUGUGUGUGUGUGUGUGUGUGUACGGGGGUGUGUGUAUGUGUGUGGGUGUGUGUUUGUGUGUGUCAGUGAGUGAGGGAGAGAGAGAGAGAGAGAUACUGAAGCCCUACAUGCCAAAUUUUGCCGAUCUGUAUUAAGUAACUAAAACACGCAUGUAGGGCAGAACCCCUUGGCCAGACGGACCUGCAGAGCAAAUCCCAAAUUUGCCGGAGGUUUGUCUGGGUUUCCCAGGCUACUGUACAUGUAGGGCAAA
Alosa sapidissima (American shad) is the source of this 1583-nucleotide long non-coding RNA. RefSeq lists it as uncharacterized. The transcript has 3 exons. NCBI's taxonomy places the organism in Eukaryota, Metazoa, Chordata, Actinopteri, Clupeiformes, Clupeidae. The record is from RefSeq and is a predicted model, not a curated record.